Molecule: ribosomal RNA, 374 nt
Filed under: uncultured bacterium
Lineage: Bacteria
Description: bacterial SSU rRNA
Rfam family: Bacterial small subunit ribosomal RNA
Source: RNAcentral
AACGAACGCUGGCGGCAGGCUUAACACAUGCAAGUCGAACGCCCCGCAAGGGGAGUGGCAGACGGGUGAGUAACACGUGGGAACAUGCCCAAAGGUACGGAAUAUCCUCGGGAAACUGGGAGACAAUACCGUAUGUGCCCGAAAGGGGAAAGAUUUAUCGCCUUUGGAUUGGCCCGCGUCGGAUUAGCUAGUUGGUGGGGUAAAAGCCUACCAAGGCGACGAUCCGUAGCUGGUCUGAGAGGACGACCAGCCACACUGGGACUGAGACACGGCCCAGACUCCUACGGGAGGCAGCAGUGGGGAAUCUUAGGACAAUGGGCGCAAGCCUGAUCCAGCCAUGCCGCGUGGAUGAUGAAGGCCUUAGGGUUGUAAAA